GGAUCCAGGGCCUGCUCCGAACCCUCAGGGUCAUUGGCAAAGCAGGACUGAGUAGAGUCUGUCGUGACCGCUCUAGGGGUUUCUGUCCCUCAGGCUUUGGCCACAAGGGUCACCGGGGCUGGCAGGGUCGUCUGGGGCCAGUGGAGUCCUGGGCACUGACCAGCUUCCCACCUGGCCCAGUGCACUGUCGUCUUGGCUGCAGGCAGAGCACAGAGAACAAGAGUCACAGGGCUGCAUCUAGACGACGCCUGCGGCUGAAUUCUAAAUCUGCCACCUUCCAGCCGUGAGAGCCCGGGCCAGCUGCUUAUUUCCACUGAGUCCCAGUUUCCCCAUCUGUGAAAUGGGGCUAGUCAGCCGGGCUGUUGUGAAGAUGCGUGUACUGUGACUCGCAUGUUGAGCCCGGUGGCUGACUCAAGUGAGGGCUCUGUCAACGUCAGCCAUUCAUAACAACAAUAAAUAUUAUGAUGAUUCCUUCCGGAAAUACCUGUGGAGCACCUGUGACAGGCCAGGUCCUAUGCAGGGUGCUCUUGGACGAUGGAGGAAAGAUGACUGGAACAAGCUUAUCAUACUUGUACAAUGCAGGACAGGAAAGAACAAGACCUUUGCAACUUGGUGCCAAUGGUGGAGAGUCAGCCAGAAAGCAGCACGAGAGUCAUCAUGCAUUAAUCCACAACUCAUUCACAAAUUCCCUGGUUACCUGUGAGGAGGGAUGCAGAUCCACGAUUACUCAGCUGCUAAAUUACAAGGAACCAAAUGGGGAAACAAAUUUCUGUAUCCAAAAAACCUUAAAGACCAUCAAAUCCCAAUCAUUUCUUCAGAGAAUGAUCAUGAUUUUGAUCUUGGUUCAAAUUCAGAUCCUGUUAUUUACUACAUGUAAGAUUUAAUACGACUUUGAAUCUCGCUGACCUGUAACAUGGAAAUAAUUCUUAUUCAACAUGGUUGUCAUGAGGUUGAAAUGACAUUAAGUGGGAUAAUUUACGCAAAGUAAAGCAUGUGAUCAUAGGUGUGUAUACACUUAGUGUUUGGAUCAAUUUUAAAAUGUACGCUGUACCUGGAUCUGAUUAAAAUGCUCACUUCUUGAGCAACAAUAACAUUGGG
Canis lupus familiaris (dog) is the source of this 1098-nucleotide long non-coding RNA. RefSeq lists it as uncharacterized. NCBI's taxonomy places the organism in Eukaryota, Metazoa, Chordata, Mammalia, Carnivora, Canidae. The record is from RefSeq and is a predicted model, not a curated record. The transcript has 2 exons.